RNAcentral lists this ribosomal RNA (521 nucleotides) under uncultured Gammaproteobacteria bacterium. Its description in RNAcentral is "bacterial SSU rRNA". It matches the Rfam family "Bacterial small subunit ribosomal RNA", at positions 366 to 883 of the family's 1533-position model. The record is from RNAcentral. Lineage: Bacteria; Pseudomonadati; Pseudomonadota; Gammaproteobacteria.
GGACAUGGGCGAAAGCUGAUGCAGCAAUGCCGCGUGUGUGAAGAAGCCUGCGGGUUGUAAAGCACUUUCAGUAGAGAGAAAAGCCUGGCGCUAAUAACGUCGGGUCUUGACGUAACCUACAGAAGAAGCACCGGCUAACUCCGUGCCAGCAGCCGCGGUAAUACAGAGGGUGCAAGCGUUAAUCGGAAUUACUGGGCGUAAAGCGAGCGUAGGUGGCUUGAUAAGUCAGAUGUGAAAUCCCCGGGCUUAACCUGGGAACUGCAUCUGAAACUGUUAGGCUAGAGUAGGUGAGAGGGAAGUAAAUUUCAGGUGUACGCGGUGAAAUGCGUAAGAUCUGAAGGAAUACCGAUGGCAAGGCAGCUUCCUGGCAUCAUACUGACACUGAGGCUCGAAAGCGUGGGUAGCAAACAGGAUUAGAUACCCUGGUAGUCCACGCCGUAAACGAUGUCUACUAGUCGUUGGGUCCCUUGAGGACUUAGUGACGCAGCUAACGCAAUAAGUAGACCGUCCUGGUGGAGUAC